GACGAACGCUGGCGGCGUGCUUAACACAUGCAAGUCGAACGGAAAGGCCCUGCUUUUGUGGGGUGCUCGAGUGGCGAACGGGUGAGUAACACGUGAGUAACCUGCCCUUGACUUUGGGAUAACUUCAGGAAACUGGGGCUAAUACCGGAUAGGAGCUCCUGCUGCAUGGUGGGGGUUGGAAAGUUUCGGCGGUUGGGGAUGGACUCGCGGCUUAUCAGCUUGUUGGUGGGGUAGUGGCUUACCAAGGCUUUGACGGGUAGCCGGCCUGAGAGGGUGACCGGCCACAUUGGGACUGAGAUACGGCCCAGACUCCUACGGGAGGCAGCAGUGGGGAAUAUUGCACAAUGGGCCGAAGCCUGAUGCAGCAACGCCGCGUGCGGGAUGACGGCCUUCGGGUUGUAAACCGCUUUCGCCUGUGACGAAGCGUGAGUGACGGUAAUGGGUAAAGAAGCACCGGCUAACUACGU
Molecule: ribosomal RNA, 467 nt
Filed under: uncultured bacterium
Lineage: Bacteria
Description: partial 16S ribosomal RNA
Rfam family: Bacterial small subunit ribosomal RNA
Source: RNAcentral